GUUCACGAAUCGCGAAUUACAAGUCGAACAACCUGUUGGAUCCGAGCCCUGAGGGAUUUUAAUGAAAUCGGUAGACAAGUUUGUGACCCACAUCCUCAAAGUAGAAAAGACGAGUUUUACCAAUAAGGAUUCGUCGAGUUUGUCCGGACAACCAAAAACGGUCGAGCGAAAUUGACACGAAUCCUGGAAUCCAUUUUUAUUCGCUGUAAAACGAUCUUACCUUUUUUAAUAAAAUAAAAAGUUCACUCAAUCGCCGUAA
This 259-nucleotide long non-coding RNA is filed under the name Polistes fuscatus (common paper wasp). RNAcentral describes it as "uncharacterized LOC122513294". Lineage: Eukaryota; Metazoa; Arthropoda; Insecta; Hymenoptera; Vespidae. The record is from RNAcentral.